Molecule: unclassified non-coding RNA, 381 nt
Filed under: Bombus terrestris (buff-tailed bumblebee)
Lineage: Eukaryota; Metazoa; Arthropoda; Insecta; Hymenoptera; Apidae
Description: misc RNA ENSBTSG00005021840.1
Source: RNAcentral
CAAAUACAUAUUUAUCUCAGAUACGAGAAAUUUGUUCUCCAAAUUCGGAAAUUUUGCAGCUUAAAUAAUACUUUAUGUGUAUAUAUAUAUACGAAUUCAAGGUAUAUAAUUAUUCAACCAGUUCGACGAAUUUAAUUAUUAUUAUUAACGAAGAAAAGAAUGAUAGCUAGUUCGGUAUCGACGUAGCGCUCUCUUGCGAUACGUUCAGUAAUGUAACACGAACAUGUAUAUAAUCGAUAAAAAUGUUCUGUUACAUUAUCACAAGAUAUUUCAAACAUAUCUAUCAUGACUAUUCGCAUGGCUGUACUAUUCCUACCAUUGAUUAAGUGCCAUAACCUUAUUUAGAUCAUUAUUUGCAUUAUUUAAUAUAGACUAAAAAUG